UAGCCCAGGACCUCAUUGUCCAUUUUGGGAAUUUUUGGGAAAUUUAGGGAGUUUUUUAUAAGGUCCUUGUAGCCCAAGACCUCAUUGUCCUUUUUGGGAAUUUUUGGGAAAUUUAGGGAAUUUUGGGAAAUUUUGGGAGUUUUUUAUAAGGUCCUUGUACCCCAGGACUUCAUUGUCCAUUUUGGCCUGGAAUGAAGGGAAAAAGUCAUUUGGGGUGCAGAAGGGAAUUUUUGGGAAAUUUAGGGAAUUUUUGGGAAAUUUAGGGAGUUUUUUAUAAGGUCCUUGUAGCCCAGGACCUCAUUGUCCAUUUUGGGAAUUUUUGGNUCCCGGAUCACCUGCGGGAAACGGGAUCGGGGUCAGAGACCCCCCCGGUUCAGCACCAACCCCUCCCCACACAGCAGGGCCAGCACUCACCUCUGGAGACGGAGGAGGAGACAUGGAUUUGGGAGACAGGGAGCGCUGCAGAAGGCAAGGAUUGAAGUAAUUUUAAUUUAUUUUUAAUUAAUUUUAAUUAAUUUUUAAUUAAUUUCAAAAUAUAAAAAUAAUAUUAUUAAUAUUAUAUAAUUCAAUGUAAUUAAAUGAA
Molecule: long non-coding RNA, 583 nt
Filed under: Zonotrichia albicollis (white-throated sparrow)
Lineage: Eukaryota; Metazoa; Chordata; Aves; Passeriformes; Passerellidae
Description: lncRNA (ENSZALG00000000730.1)
Source: RNAcentral